CCUACGGGAGGCAGCAGUAGGGAAUCUUCCACAAUGGGCGAAAGCCUGAUGGAGCAACGCCGCGUGGGUGAAGAAGGUCUUCGGAUCGUAAAACCCUGUUGUUAGAGAAGAAAGUGCGUGAGAGUAACUGUUCACGUUUCGACGGUAUCUAACCAGAAAGCCACGGCUAACUACGUGCCAGCAGCCGCGGUAAUACGUAGGUGGCAGGCGUUAUCCGGAUUUAUUGGGCGUAAGGGGAACGCGGGCGGUCUUUUAAGUCUGAGGUGAAAGCCUUCGGCUUAACCGGAGUAGGGCAUUGGAAACUGGGAGACUUGAGUGCAGAAGAGGAGAGUGGAACUCCAGGG
RNAcentral lists this ribosomal RNA (344 nucleotides) under uncultured bacterium. RNAcentral's name for it is "partial 16S ribosomal RNA". It matches the Rfam family "Bacterial small subunit ribosomal RNA", at positions 338 to 674 of the family's 1533-position model. The record is from RNAcentral.